CAGCGCGGACUUCGGUCUGGCGGCGAGUGGCGGACGGGUGAGUAAUGUAUCGGAACGUACCCAGUAGCGGGGGAUAACUACUCGAAAGAGUAGCUAAUACCGCAUACGCCCUACGGGGGAAAGGGGGGGAUCUUAUGACCUCUCACUAUUGGAGCGGCCGAUAUCGGAUUAGCUAGUUGGUGGGGUAAAGGCCUACCAAGGCGUCGAUCCGUAGCUGGUUUGAGAGGACGACCAGCCACACUGGGACUGAGACACGGCCCAGACUCCUACGGGAGGCAGCAGUGGGGAAUUUUGGACAAUGGGGGCAACCCUGAUCCAGCCAUCCCGCGUGUGCGAUGAAGGCCUUCGGGUUGUAAAGCACUUUUGGCAGGAAAGAAAUUGCAUGGGUUAAUACCCUGUGUAGAUGACGGUACCUGCAGAAUAAGCACCGGCUAACUACGUGCCAGCAGCCGCGGUAAUACGUAGGGUGCAAGCGUUAAUCGGAAUUACUGGGCGUAAAGCGUGCGCAGGCGGUUCGGAAAGAAAGAUGUGAAAUCCCAGGGCUUAACCUUGGAACUGCAUUUUUAACUGUCGAACUAGAGUGCGUCAGAGGGGGGUGGAAUUCCGCGUGUAGCAGUGAAAUGCGUAGAUAUGCGGAGGAACACCGAUGGCGAAGGCAGCCCCCUGGGAUGACACUGACGCUCAUGCACGAAAGCGUGGG
Molecule: ribosomal RNA, 700 nt
Filed under: uncultured beta proteobacterium
Lineage: Bacteria; Pseudomonadati; Pseudomonadota; Betaproteobacteria
Description: bacterial SSU rRNA
Rfam family: Bacterial small subunit ribosomal RNA
Source: RNAcentral